GGUUGGCCAAGCGGUCAAAGGCGCUGCGUUCAUGUCGCAGUACCGCCCGGUUUGGCGUGGGUUCAACUCCCGUCGAGCAAUU
This is a non-coding RNA of Trichonephila clavipes, 82 nucleotides long. Lineage: Eukaryota; Metazoa; Arthropoda; Arachnida; Araneae; Nephilidae. The record is from the annotation of a GenBank genome assembly.